Molecule: ribosomal RNA, 495 nt
Filed under: uncultured bacterium
Lineage: Bacteria
Description: partial 16S ribosomal RNA
Rfam family: Bacterial small subunit ribosomal RNA
Source: RNAcentral
GACGAACGCUGGCGGCGUGCCUAAUACAUGCAAGUAGAACGCUGAAGGAGGAGCUUGCUUCUCUGGAUGAGUUGCGAACGGGUGAGUAACGCGUAGGUAACCUGCCUGGUAGCGGGGGAUAACUAUUGGAAACGAUAGCUAAUACCGCAUAAUAGUAGAUGUUGCAUGACAUUUGCUUAAAAGGUGCAAUUGCAUCACUACCAGAUGGACCUGCGUUGUAUUAGCUAGUUGGUGGGGUAACGGCUCACCAAGGCGACGAUACAUAGCCGACCUGAGAGGGGGAUCGGCCACACUGGGACUGAGACACGGCCCAGACUCCUACGGGAGGCAGCAGUAGGGAAUCUUCGGCAAUGGACGGAAGGCUGACCGAGCAACGCCGCGUGAGUGAAGAAGGUUUUCGAAUCGUAAAGCUCUGUUGUAAGAGAAGAACGAGUGUGAGAGUGGAAAGUUCACACUGUGACGGUAUCUUACCAGAAAGGGACGGCUAACUACGUG